This 72-nucleotide transfer RNA is filed under the name Gelidiella fanii. RNAcentral's name for it is "tRNA-Glu". It matches the Rfam family "tRNA". Rfam says of the family: Transfer RNA (tRNA) molecules are approximately 80 nucleotides in length. Their secondary structure includes four short double-helical elements and three loops (D, anti-codon, and T loops). Further hydrogen bonds mediate the characteristic L-shaped molecular structure. tRNAs have two regions of fundamental functional importance: the anti-codon, which is responsible for specific mRNA codon recognition, and the 3' end, to which the tRNAs corresponding amino acid is attached (by aminoacyl-tRNA synthetases). tRNAs cope with the degeneracy of the genetic code in two manners: having more than one tRNA (with a specific anti-codon) for a particular amino acid; and 'wobble' base-pairing, i.e. permitting non-standard base-pairing at the 3rd anti-codon position. Lineage: Eukaryota; Rhodophyta; Florideophyceae; Gelidiales; Gelidiellaceae. The record is from RNAcentral.
GCUCCUAUCGUUUAAUGGUUAAGACAAUGCUUUUUCGUGGUAUAAAUGUGGGUUCGAAUCUCACUAGGAGUA